Molecule: RNA transcript, 1043 nt
Organism: Dioscorea cayenensis subsp. rotundata (Guinea yam)
Lineage: Eukaryota; Viridiplantae; Streptophyta; Magnoliopsida; Dioscoreales; Dioscoreaceae
Gene name: dual specificity protein phosphatase 1B-like
Exons: 7
Source: RefSeq, a predicted model, not a curated record
UCAUAACAGAUGAUGAUAAACCUGGCAAUUCCACGCGCACUCACUGGAAAUCCUCUGAGAAUUCAACCCAUCCUUUCUCGAUUCUCUGGAGUCAUGGCGUCGAUGGAUGACGAUGCGUACCUGAGGCGAAUGGCUGCGUUACUCCAAGCAAUUUCUCUAGCGAGGGUCGCCAAACAGGACAGCGUUAUUUGCCAAAUCGAAGACGGUUUGUAUCUGGGAUCAGUUGGAGCUGCACAGGAUAAGGAGGCGUUGAAGAAGUUGAAUAUAACUCAUGUAUUGACUGUGGCCAAAUCGCUUCUGCCUGCUUAUCCGAACGAGUUUGUGUAUAAGAGGAUCGAUGUGCUUGACAACUCAACAACAAAUUUGGCUCAAUAUUUUGAUGAGUGUUUUGAAUUCAUCGAUGAAGCUAGAAGGUCGGGUGGUGGUGUACUAGUUCAUUGUUUUGCGGGAAUAUCUAGAAGUGCCACAGUUGUUGUUGCUUAUUUGAUGAAGGAGUAUAGAAUGCCUCUAUCUCAAGCUUUGGAACUUGUUAGGAGUAAACGGCCACAAAUAUGCCCUAAUUUUGGUUUCAGAAAACAGUUGGAGGACUUUGAGAAAUCUCUGGAAGUGAUUCAAAAUCCAAAGGCAAUUGAGUCUAUGAAUUAGUGAUUCCAGGUUAAAGAGGACCAAGAUGUGAGCCCCAAGUUAAAUGCUACCCAGAUUUUAACAACACAUGUUAUUCUCAUGAAUGCUGCCUGGCACAUCUCUUAAUUGACUCCAUUUUUUGGUCUAACCAAUAGUACCAAAAAUGUACCGUUAUGUGAUUACUUCCAUAUGAGAUGCUUCUAGAACCCUUCAAAAACAUGGAAGGUGCAACCCUAACCUCAUGACAUCUUCUUGGCAUUCUCCGGGGACGGGCUGCCAUCAUCCAGAGUAAUAUCUUCUCUUUACCAACUGUCUUCGAUGUAAUUUGUUUGUCUGCAAACUUUUCUCUUUGAUUCUCUGUCAAUAAACUGAAAAUUGCAUUACAUAAUAUUGCCAAAGUUUUUAUUAUAUAAGAAUUA